UACAGAGGGUGCGAGCGUUAAUCGGAAUUACUGGGCGUAAAGCGCGCGUAGGCGGCUUUGCAAGUCGGGUGUGAAAUCCCCAGGCUUAACCUGGGAACUGCAUUCGAGACUGCAUUGCUAGAGUAUGGGAGAGGGGAAGUGGAAUUUCAGGUGUAGCGGUGAAAUGCGUAGAUAUCUGAAGGAACAUCAGUGGCGAAAGCGACUUCCUGGACCAAUACUGACGCUCAUGUGCGAAAAGCGUGGGGAGC
RNAcentral lists this ribosomal RNA (248 nucleotides) under uncultured bacterium. RNAcentral's name for it is "partial 16S ribosomal RNA". It matches the Rfam family "Bacterial small subunit ribosomal RNA", at positions 524 to 769 of the family's 1533-position model. The record is from RNAcentral.